GACGAACGCUGGCGGCGUGCUUAACACAUGCAAGUCGAGGGUAGCAAUACACUGGCGCAAGGGUGCGUAACGCGUAGAUUAUCUGCCCCAUACACUAACAUAACGCUUGGAAACGGGUGCUAAUAUUAGAUGAGGUGCUUCGGCAUCAAAGUUUCGACGGUAUGGGAUGAGUCUGCGUCUGAUUAGCUAGUUGGUAGUGUAAUGGACUACCAAGGCGACGAUCAGUAGCUGGUCUGAGAGGACGAUCAGCCACACUGGAACUGAGACACGGUCCAGACUCCUACGGGAGGCAGCAGUGAGGAAUUUUGCGCAAUGGACGAAAGUCUGACGCAGCGACGCCGCGUGUGGGAUGAAGGGGCUACGCCCUGUAAACCACUGUUAGAUGUGAAAAAAAAGAUGGCUUUGCCGUCCGGGAUUGUAACAUCAAAGAAAGGACCGGCUAACUACGUGCCAGCAGCCGCU
This 462-nucleotide ribosomal RNA is filed under the name uncultured bacterium. RNAcentral describes it as "bacterial SSU rRNA". It matches the Rfam family "Bacterial small subunit ribosomal RNA", at positions 28 to 519 of the family's 1533-position model. The record is from RNAcentral.